Molecule: ribosomal RNA, 253 nt
Filed under: uncultured bacterium
Lineage: Bacteria
Description: partial 16S ribosomal RNA
Rfam family: Bacterial small subunit ribosomal RNA
Source: RNAcentral
UACGUAGGGUGCAAGCAUUGUCCGGAUUUAUUGGGCGUAAAGAGCGUGUAGGCGGCCAGGCAGGUCCGCUGUGAAAACUCGAGGCUUAACCUCGAGACGUCGGUGGAAACCGUUUGGCUAGAGUCCGGAAGAGGAGAGUGGAAUUCCCGGUGUAGCGGUGAAAUGCGCAGAUAUCGGGAAGAACACCCGUGGCGAAGGCGGCUCUCUGGGACGGUACUGACGCUGAGACGCGAAAGCGUGGGGAGCGAACAGG